RNAcentral lists this ribosomal RNA (249 nucleotides) under uncultured bacterium. RNAcentral describes it as "partial 16S ribosomal RNA". It matches the Rfam family "Bacterial small subunit ribosomal RNA", at positions 332 to 580 of the family's 1533-position model. The record is from RNAcentral.
CGGCCUACGGGAGGCAGCAGUAGGGAAUUUUCGUCAAUGGGCGCAAGCCUGAACCAGCCAAGUCGCGUGAGGGAAGACGGCCCUACGGGUUGUAAACCUCUUUUGCCGGGGAGCAAGCCUGAGCACGUGUGCCCAGGCGGAGAGUACCCGGAGAAAAAGCAUCGGCUAACUCCGUGCCAGCAGCCGCGGUAAUACGGAGGAUGCGAGCGUUAUCCGGAUUUAUUGGGGUUAAAGGGUGCGCAGGCGGGC